Molecule: transfer RNA, 66 nt
Filed under: chicken gut metagenome
Rfam family: tRNA
About the family: Transfer RNA (tRNA) molecules are approximately 80 nucleotides in length. Their secondary structure includes four short double-helical elements and three loops (D, anti-codon, and T loops). Further hydrogen bonds mediate the characteristic L-shaped molecular structure. tRNAs have two regions of fundamental functional importance: the anti-codon, which is responsible for specific mRNA codon recognition, and the 3' end, to which the tRNAs corresponding amino acid is attached (by aminoacyl-tRNA synthetases). tRNAs cope with the degeneracy of the genetic code in two manners: having more than one tRNA (with a specific anti-codon) for a particular amino acid; and 'wobble' base-pairing, i.e. permitting non-standard base-pairing at the 3rd anti-codon position.
Source: RNAcentral
GGCUGUAGUUCAGUGGUAGAACAUCAGACUUCCAAUCUGAUUAUGCGGGUUCGAUUCCCGUCAGCC